RNAcentral lists this ribosomal RNA (810 nucleotides) under Polaribacter dokdonensis. Its description in RNAcentral is "bacterial SSU rRNA". It matches the Rfam family "Bacterial small subunit ribosomal RNA", at positions 380 to 1195 of the family's 1533-position model. Lineage: Bacteria; Pseudomonadati; Bacteroidota; Flavobacteriia; Flavobacteriales; Flavobacteriaceae. The record is from RNAcentral.
ACUCUGACCCAGCCAUGCCGCGUGCAGGAAGACUGCCCUAUGGGUUGUAAACUGCUUUUAUACAGGAAGAAACACUAGUACGUGUACUAGCUUGACGGUACUGUAAGAAUAAGGACCGGCUAACUCCGUGCCAGCAGCCGCGGUAAUACGGAGGGUCCGAGCGUUAUCCGGAAUCAUUGGGUUUAAAGGGUCCGCAGGCGGUCGAUUAAGUCAGAGGUGAAAUCCCAUAGCUUAACUAUGGAACUGCCUUUGAUACUGGUUGACUUGAGUCAUAUGGAAGUAGAUAGAAUGUGUAGUGUAGCGGUGAAAUGCAUAGAUAUUACACAGAAUACCGAUUGCGAAGGCAGUCUACUACGUAUGUACUGACGCUCAUGGACGAAAGCGUGGGGAGCGAACAGGAUUAGAUACCCUGGUAGUCCACGCCGUAAACGAUGGACACUAGUUGUUGGGCAUUAGCUCAGUGACUAAGCGAAAGUGAUAAGUGUCCCACCUGGGGAGUACGAUCGCAAGAUUGAAACUCAAAGGAAUUGACGGGGGCCCGCACAAGCGGUGGAGCAUGUGGUUUAAUUCGAUGAUACGCGAGGAACCUUACCAGGGCUUAAAUGUAGUCUGACAGCUUUAGAGAUAGAGUUUUCUUCGGACAGAUUACAAGGUGCUGCAUGGUUGUCGUCAGCUCGUGCCGUGAGGUGUCAGGUUAAGUCCUAUAACGAGCGCAACCCUUGUCGUUAGUUGCCAGCAUGUAAAGAUGGGGACUCUAACGAGACUGCCGGUGCAAACCGUGAGGAAGGUGGGGAUGACGUCAAAUCAUCA